GCAGUGAGGAAGGUGGGUAUGUUAAUAGCAUACUCAUUUGACGUUAGCUGCAGAAGAAGCACCGGCUAACUCCGUGCCAGCAGCCGCGGUAAUACGGAGGGUGCGAGCGUUAAUCGGAAUUACGUGGGACGUAAAGCGCAUGCAGGUGGUUUGUUAAGUCAGAUGUGAAAGCCCGGGGCUCAACCUCGGAAUUGCAUUUGAAACUGGACAAACUAGAGUACUGUAGAGGGGGUAGAAUUUCAGGUGUAGCGGUGAAAUGCGUAGAGAUCUGAAGGAAUACCGGUGGCGAAGGCGGCCCCCCUGGACAGAUACUGACACUCAGAUGCGAAAGCGUGGGGAGCAAACAGGAUUAGAUACCCUGGUAG
RNAcentral lists this ribosomal RNA (365 nucleotides) under uncultured bacterium. RNAcentral describes it as "bacterial SSU rRNA". It matches the Rfam family "Bacterial small subunit ribosomal RNA", at positions 439 to 793 of the family's 1533-position model. The record is from RNAcentral.